GUGGGGAAUAUUGGACAACGGGGGGAACCCUGAUCCAGCCAUGCCGCGUGUGUGAAGAAGGCCUUUUGGUUGUAGAGCACUUUAAGCGAGGAGGAGGCUACCGAGAUUAAUACUCUUGGAUAGUGGACGUUACUCGCAGAAUAAGCACCGGCUAACUCUGUGCCAGCAGCCGCGGUAAUACAGAGGGUGCAAGCGUUAAUCGGAUUUACUGGGCGUAAAGCGCGCGUAGGUGGCCAAUUAAGUCAAAUGUGAAAUCCCCGAGCUUAACUUGGGAAUUGCAUUCGAUACUGGUUGGCUAGAGUAUGGGAGAGGAUGGUAGAAUUCCAGGUGUAGCGGUGAAAUGCGUAGAGAUCUGGAGGAAUACCGAUGGCGAAGGCAGCCAUCUGGCCUAAUACUGACACUGAGGUGCGAAAGCAUGGGGAGCAAACAGGAUUAGAAACCCGAGUAGUCC
This 451-nucleotide ribosomal RNA is filed under the name uncultured bacterium. RNAcentral's name for it is "partial 16S ribosomal RNA". It matches the Rfam family "Bacterial small subunit ribosomal RNA", at positions 354 to 796 of the family's 1533-position model. The record is from RNAcentral.